This 254-nucleotide ribosomal RNA is filed under the name uncultured bacterium. RNAcentral's name for it is "partial 16S ribosomal RNA". It matches the Rfam family "Bacterial small subunit ribosomal RNA", at positions 524 to 778 of the family's 1533-position model. The record is from RNAcentral.
UGCGAAGGGGGCUAGCGUUGCUCGGAAUCACUGGGCGUAAAGGGUGCGUAGGCGGGUCUUUAAGUCAGGGGUGAAAUCCUGGAGCUCAACUCCAGAACUGCCUUUGAUACUGAGGAUCUUGAGUUCGGGAGAGGUGAGUGGAACUGCGAGUGUAGAGGUGAAAUUCGUAGAUAUUGCAAGAACACCAGUGGCGAAGGCGGCUCACUGGCCCGAUACUGACGCUGAGGCACGAAAGCGUGGGGAGCAAAGCAGGG